CGCAGCGAAAUGCGAUAACUAAUGUGAAUUGCAGAAUUCAGUGAAUCAUCGAAUCUUUGAACGCACAUUGCGCCCCCUGGUAUUCCGGGGGGCAUGCCUGUUCGAGCGUCAU
Molecule: ribosomal RNA, 112 nt
Filed under: Teratosphaeria destructans
Lineage: Eukaryota; Fungi; Ascomycota; Dothideomycetes; Mycosphaerellales; Teratosphaeriaceae
Description: partial 5.8S ribosomal RNA
Rfam family: 5.8S ribosomal RNA
About the family: 5.8S ribosomal RNA (5.8S rRNA) is a component of the large subunit of the eukaryotic ribosome.
Source: RNAcentral